This 374-nucleotide ribosomal RNA is filed under the name uncultured Glomeromycotina. Its description in RNAcentral is "LSU rRNA". Lineage: Eukaryota; Fungi; Glomeromycota. The record is from RNAcentral.
UUGAAAGGGAAACGAUUGAAGUCAGUCGUACUGAUGGGAAAUCAACUUCUCGAGUGCUUGUCGUGGAUGACGUUGAGCUUCACGGCCUUCGUUGCUUACGUUAUGGUGCUUUUGAGAUGUACUUUCCGUAUGGUAGGUCAACAUCGAUUUUGAUCGUCAUAAAAUGAUCGGAGGAAUGUGGCUCUGAUCUCGUAUCGGAGUGUUAUAGCCUUUGGUAGAUGUGACGAUUGGGAUCGAGGAUUGCAACGAAUACCCUUUUGGGCUAUCCGUCUGACCUCUGAAAGUUACUUGGGUGCCGAAAGCUUGCUUACGGUCAUUUAAGUUGACGGUCAAUAGGUUAGAACGUGAUUACAUUCGUUAAGGAUGUUGACGUA